This 498-nucleotide long non-coding RNA is filed under the name Heterocephalus glaber (naked mole-rat). RNAcentral describes it as "lncRNA (ENSHGLG00000046164.1)". The record is from RNAcentral. Lineage: Eukaryota; Metazoa; Chordata; Mammalia; Rodentia; Bathyergidae.
CACCCAGCCAGGGAGUUGACCUGAUACAAGCCUUGGUCUCCUGGAGAGUGACAGAGACUCACUUCCAUCUCUGCAGCAUUCGUCAAGGUCACCCAGAGGAGGCCACUUGUGUGGCAAAGAUCAAACACAAAAAAGAAGGCCAGGUGCAGGUCACACCCACCCGGUUUGCCCAGGCUCUGCAGGGGGCACUAGGCACAGGCCUCUGGAUUCAAGCUACACCCAGGGGCCUUGUCGUUCUGGCCUGGGGGUCCCGUGGUCUGGUCUUCAUCCUCCCUUCGGAGGAAGAGUCAAGGGAUUCUGAGCUCUGCCAACUCGCCCUCUGAGAAGUGGAACUGGAGGGUCAGCGCACGCAGCAGACCCUAUUUGUGUAGCAGAAUGUACCAGCUUGGACUAGACAGUCACCGACUAGAGGGACAUCAAGUCACAUCUACUUCCAGGUCAUCUAGGCUGGGCUUGAUCUUUUGAUCCUCCUGCCUCAGCCUCCUAGAGUGAUGGGAU